RNAcentral lists this ribosomal RNA (451 nucleotides) under uncultured bacterium. RNAcentral describes it as "bacterial SSU rRNA". It matches the Rfam family "Bacterial small subunit ribosomal RNA", at positions 354 to 796 of the family's 1533-position model. The record is from RNAcentral.
GUGGGGAAUUUUGCGCAAUGGGGGAAACCCUGACGCAGCAACGCCGCGUGAGUGAUGAAGGCCUUCGGGUUGUAAAGCUCUUUUAGUGGGGAAGAAGCCCUCCGGGGUUAAUACCUCCGGGGUCUGACGGUACCCACAGAAAAAGUUCCGGCUAACUACGUGCCAGCAGCCGCGGUAAUACGUAGGGAGCAAGCGUUGUUCGGAAUUAUUGGGCGUAAAGAGCGCGUAGGCGGUUCGGUAAGUCUGACGUGAAAUCCCGGAGCUUAACUCCGGAACUGCGUUGGAUACUGCCGGGCUUGAGUGUGGGAGAGGAGAGUGGAAUUCCCAGUGUAGAGGUGAAAUUCGUAGAUAUUGGGAGGAACACCCGUGGCGAAGGCGGCUCUCUGGACCACAACUGACGCUGAGGCGCGAAAGCUAGGGGAGCAAACGGGAUUAGAAACCCUAGUAGUCC